RNAcentral lists this unclassified non-coding RNA (211 nucleotides) under plant metagenome. RNAcentral describes it as "partial contains small subunit ribosomal RNA, internal transcribed spacer 1, and 5.8S ribosomal RNA". The record is from RNAcentral.
UUUCCGUAGGUGAACCUGCGGAAGAAUCAUUCAUAAUAAAGUGUUUUAUGGCACUUUUUAAAAAUCCAUCUCCACCUUGUGUGCAAUGUUAGAUCUCGUCAAUCUUGGCGAGAUUUUUAUACAUCAACUCAUUCUUUACCUAAUUUGUCUGAAAAAUAUUAUGAAUACUUAAUUCAAAAUACAACUUUCAACAACGGAUCUCUUGGCUCUC